Molecule: ribosomal RNA, 85 nt
Filed under: Allium schoenoprasum
Lineage: Eukaryota; Viridiplantae; Streptophyta; Magnoliopsida; Asparagales; Amaryllidaceae
Source: RNAcentral
CAUCAGAACUCCGCAGUUAAGCGUGCUUGGGCGAGAGUAGUACUAGGAUGGGUGACCUCCUGGGAAGUCCUCGUGUUGCACUCCU